This 329-nucleotide long non-coding RNA is filed under the name Monodelphis domestica (gray short-tailed opossum). RNAcentral's name for it is "lncRNA (ENSMODG00000041951.1)". The record is from RNAcentral. Lineage: Eukaryota; Metazoa; Chordata; Mammalia; Didelphimorphia; Didelphidae.
CACUGGUACCCCUCUCCCUCAGUCCAGGCUCUCAUUCCGUCUUUCUCAUGAUCCAUCUUCUCCUCUGCAUGAGGGAGAAGACUCAAAGGGCCGACACAGCACCUCAUUUAUUCAGCAUGACGCUUGUCAAGCAUCUGAAGGGCUGCACCAGCUCAGCUGCAAGAAAGCACAACCAAGGAAAAUGCCCAGCCCAGAACUGCUCAGUGGAACCCCCUGCCUGGAUGCCUGUUCACCACUGUACUGUAAGUCUGAGAUUUUUGAUUCCUAGUUUGGUGAAGCAGAAGGCUGAGAGUUCUCAUAGCAUUGGUGACUUCUUGAAAUUCGGCUAG